CCUACGGGUGGCUGCAGUGGGGAAUAUUGGGCAAUGGACGCAAGUCUGACCCAGCAACGCCGCGUGAAGGAAGAAGGCUUUCGGGUUGUAAACGUCGUUUAAGGGGGAAGAGCAGAAGACGGUACCCCUUGAAUAAGCCACGGCUAACGACGUGCCAGCAGCCGCGGUAAUACGUAGGUGGCAAGCGUUGUCCGGAUUUAAUGGGUGUAAAGGGCGUGCAGCAGGCGAGAGAAGUCAGAUGUGAAAUCCCCGGGCUCAACCCGUGAACGGCAUUGGAAACUGUUUCCCUUGAGUGUCGGAGAGGUAAUCGGCAUUCCUUGUGUAGCGGUGAAAUGCGUCGAUAUCAGGCAGAACCCCAGUGGCGAAGGCGGCUUACUGGACGAUACCUGACGGUGAGGCGCGAACGCGUGGGGAGCACACAGGAUUAGAUACCCUUGUAGUC
RNAcentral lists this ribosomal RNA (442 nucleotides) under uncultured bacterium. Its description in RNAcentral is "partial 16S ribosomal RNA". It matches the Rfam family "Bacterial small subunit ribosomal RNA", at positions 338 to 795 of the family's 1533-position model. The record is from RNAcentral.